This 29-nucleotide transfer RNA is filed under the name Physcomitrium immersum. Its description in RNAcentral is "partial tRNA-Ser". Lineage: Eukaryota; Viridiplantae; Streptophyta; Bryopsida; Funariales; Funariaceae. The record is from RNAcentral.
AGGAAAGAGAGGGAUUCCAACCCUCGGUA